CUAAAGAUGAAAGUUGGGAAACUACAACUUGGUGUUACACAUCAGAUUCCACCAGCCAAAUUUACUAAAACUUUGGGUUUAAGAAACGGUAGUUUCUCUUGGCAUGCACUUCUAUAUUUUUAUUAAAUUUUUUUCAUAAAUAUUCUUCUAAAUAUCGAAUUUUGCAUGAAUAUCUUUUAAAAUUUGAUAUUUGCAUAUAUAUCUUCGUAAAACAUUUUCUUUACUAUACUACCAUUUUUAUCUAUAUUUUUGCAUAAGUACCCACGUCAUCUAAAGCCGUUAAAAAAUUAAUGGUUUUAAUGGCUAAAUGUGCAAAAAAAAAACUGUUGUGGUUCAAAUUUGGCCCAAGGGUGACCACGCCAGUGGAGCCGAGGGAGCCGCCGGUGGUUGGAAGAAGAAGAUAGGUGAUGCCGCACCAAAUCUGGAGGAAAAACUUCAGUGGGAUUUAAAUCAGAACAGAAGAAGAGGGAGAAGAGAAAGAGGAGGAGGAGGAGAAGAGGAGAAGAGAAGAAGAGAGGAGGAGAAUAGGUGGAGAGAAAAUGUCUAAUUCUUCAUUAAACCCUAAUCAAGAAAAUAGUUCCCUAUAUAUAGGGCCCAAAUACACAAUUUGCAUGAAACCCCCCUUACACAAAAAUAACUCCUAAUAAGCCCACAAAUAACACAAAUAAGCCCUAAAAUGCAAAUGAACCCAGAAAUAAAAUAAACCACAAAUAAAUCCCUAAAUGCAAAUAAAUCCAGAAAUAAAAUAAAAUAAAUAUGCAAAUAAACGGGUCUGAUUCAAUCCGGGGGCUCAGGAUCAUCUGGAUGAAGGGCUCUGAUGUCCCCAUCA
RNAcentral lists this long non-coding RNA (829 nucleotides) under Phoenix dactylifera (date palm). RNAcentral describes it as "long non-coding RNA (PDAC_LNC003243)". Lineage: Eukaryota; Viridiplantae; Streptophyta; Magnoliopsida; Arecales; Arecaceae. The record is from RNAcentral.